Molecule: ribosomal RNA, 292 nt
Filed under: uncultured microorganism
Description: partial 16S ribosomal RNA
Rfam family: Bacterial small subunit ribosomal RNA
Source: RNAcentral
GUGCCAGCAGCCGCGGUAAUACGUAGGUGGCAAGCGUUGUCCGGAAUUAUUGGGCGUAAAGCGCGCGCAGGCGGUUCCUUAAGUCUGAUGUGAAAGCCCACGGCUCAACCGUGGAGGGUCAUUGGAAACUGGGGGACUUGAGUGCAGAAGAGGAGAGCGGAAUUCCACGUGUAGCGGUGAAAUGCGUAGAGAUGUGGAGGAACACCAGUGGCGAAGGCGGCUCUCUGGUCUGUAACUGACGCUGAGGCGCGAAAGCGUGGGGAGCAAACAGGAUUAGAUACCGUGGUAGUCC